UACGGAGGGCGCAAGCGUUGUUCGGACUCACUGGGCGUAAAGCGCGCGUCGGCGGCCGGGCAAGUCGGAUGUGAAAUCCCGAGGCUCAACCUCGGAACUGCAUUCGAAACUGCCCGGCUCGAGUCCCGGAGAGGAUGGCGGAAUUCCCGGUGUAGGGGUGAAAUCCGUAGAUAUCGGGAGGAACACCAGUGGCGAAGGCGGCCGUCUGGACGGUGACUGACGCUGAGAUGCGAAAGCGUGGGGAGCAAACAGG
Molecule: ribosomal RNA, 253 nt
Filed under: uncultured bacterium
Lineage: Bacteria
Description: partial 16S ribosomal RNA
Rfam family: Bacterial small subunit ribosomal RNA
Source: RNAcentral